UGGGGAAUAUUGGACAAUGGGCGAAAGCCUGAUCCAGCCAUGCCGCGUGUGUGAAGAAGGUCUUCGGAUUGUAAAGCACUUUAAGUUGGGAGGAAGGGCAUUAACCUAAUACGUUAGUGUUUUGACGUUACCGACAGAAUAAGCACCGGCUAACUCUGUGCCAGCAGCCGCGGUAAUACAGAGGGUGCAAGCGUUAAUCGGAAUUACUGGGCGUAAAGCGCGCGUAGGUGGUUUGUUAAGUUGGAUGUGAAAUCCCCGGGCUGAACCUGGGAACUGCAUUCAAAACUGACUGACUAGAGUAUGGUAGAGGGUGGUGGAAUUUCCUGUGUAGCGGUGAAAUGCGUAGAUAUAGGAAGGAACACCAGUGGCGAAGGCGACCACCUGGACUAAUACUGACACUGAGGUGCGAAAGCGUGGGGAGCAAACA
RNAcentral lists this ribosomal RNA (427 nucleotides) under uncultured bacterium. RNAcentral describes it as "partial 16S ribosomal RNA". It matches the Rfam family "Bacterial small subunit ribosomal RNA", at positions 355 to 774 of the family's 1533-position model. The record is from RNAcentral.